RNAcentral lists this ribosomal RNA (446 nucleotides) under uncultured bacterium. RNAcentral's name for it is "bacterial SSU rRNA". It matches the Rfam family "Bacterial small subunit ribosomal RNA", at positions 29 to 506 of the family's 1533-position model. The record is from RNAcentral.
AUGAACGCUGGCGGCGUGGAUAAGGCAUGCAAGUCAAACGGGUCCCGAUAGCAAUAUCGCGGAUACAGUGGCGAACGAGUUAGUAACACCUUGGUACAUACCCAGAAGUCGGGCAUAAUCUUCCGAAAGGAAGACUAAUUCCCGAUGGUACAGUAAUGUUAAAGGAGCAAUCCGCUUCUGGAGUGGCCUAGGUCCCAUCAGCUUGUUGGUGAGGUAAUGGCUCACCAAGGCUACGACGGGUAGGGGGCGUGAGAGCGUGGCCCUCAACGACGGAACUGAGAGACGGUCCGUACACCUACGGGUGGCAGCAGUCGAGAAUAUUCGACAAUGGGCGAAAGCCUGAUCGAGCGACGCCGCGUGCAGGAAGACGUCCUUCGGGAUGUAAACUGCUUUUGCGUGGGAAGAACUUUGACGGUACCACGCGAAUAAGGGGUUGCUAACUUCGU